Piliocolobus tephrosceles (Ugandan red Colobus) is the source of this 3079-nucleotide long non-coding RNA. Lineage: Eukaryota; Metazoa; Chordata; Mammalia; Primates; Cercopithecidae. The record is from Ensembl.
AAAAUUAAAAAGAAAACAUGUACCUGAGGAAGUAGUUUUAUCCUUAGAGUUUUUAAAUUUCUGUGUUAAAAAUUUAGGAUUAUUUUUUAUUCGAUUUAUUGAUGAAAGUUUUAUGAAAAAAAUAAGUAAUUUGCUAAAAUGUACUACAUUAAAAAAAUCAAUUACAAAAAAUGUCAAAUCAAAACUGUCUAAAUUUUUUAUUGUUCCUGUUAUACACCCAGGUGUUGCAACAGAUCCCAGACUACAUUUUAUAAAAAGAAAAAUUUUAUUUAUGUUACAAUUAUGGCAUGAUUCAUUUAUAUUACAUCAACAAGUAGCUAGUGUCUUUUUUUUAGAAUACAGAUCAUUAAAAGAAAAAGGAAUUACCUUUCCUAUUAUUAAUAAAUCGGAAAAAUUUUUUGUUAAAAAUGCUUAUACUUCUCCUUCUUUUUCAGAUGACAACAUUUUACACGAACUACCUCUAAAAUUAACACAAAUUAAUAACAUUAUGAAAAGCUUAAAAGAAAUAAAAAAUAUGUAUAAUGACAGUGAAAAGGCAAAAUGUAUUACUAUCAUAUCAAAAUAUAAAGAUACGGUAUUACAAUGUAUUAAUAAAUUAUCAGAUUAUACUGGAAACGUUAAUAUAUCAGUAACAUUGAACUCAUUGCUUUAUAUAAAUGAUCAAAUAUGUAUUUUGCAGCAGAUGAAUAUGGACAAGUUGGCUAACAAGGGCGAACUUGUUGUAUCUAAUGAUGUGGAUAAACCGGUAGAACAUUCUGACCAAUCAGAGAUGAGUCAAAAAACUGAAUGGGAUACAUGGGGGGAUGAAAAAAAAACUGACGAAUCAAACAAAAAAAAAAAAAAUAAAAAAAAAAUAAAUAAAAAUAAAGCAAAAACACCUGAAUCGAUAAAUAUAAAUGAUCUCAUAUUUAAUACAUUUGAUCCAUGGAAUACUGAACAAAAACAGGUAAAAGAUGACAAAACUAAUAAUUUUAAAAAUAUUAUAACUGACAAUCAAGAUAUAUAUGAUCCUUUUUUUAGUGAGCCAACGGAUACGUUUAAUAGUUUGACUAUUAAAAAUGUGCCUACGACGUUAGAUUUGCUCUGUGACGAAAGUGCUUCGACUGUUAUCACUACCACUACUAGUGCUAAUGUUAGUGCUAUUACCAGUACUAAUAACAAUGUUGCUCAUACCACCGAUGAAGACCCAUUUUCAUUUUUUAAUGAAGAGCCCGAUAAAAAAGAGAAAGUGGAGGAUGACACAUGGACCAAUCAAACAAAAGAAGAGGACAAGUACAGUGUAUUUAAUGAAUUAAAUAUAAAUAAUGAACCGUUUACAACCCAAAAUAGUACCAACAAUCAAACACAAAAAAAUGAAUACAAAAAAUAUAACACAUUCAAUUUUGACACUUUAAAUAAUUCGCUUAACUGGACUAUCGAAUCUAAACAAACUUCAAACGCAUUUAUGUACAAAAAAAAUAACACAGAUGUACGUAACUACAUUAAUACCAAUGAUACCAUAACUGACAAAAAAAAAGAAGCACAAACACAAUCAGUAUUACUUCCAAAACACAAAAAAGAUAAUAAUACAUAUAAUAUGCAUAACAAUAAGCAUGCUAAUAUAUUUGAUAGUUUUUGUUUUGAUACAGAGGACAACCACUUGAGUGGGUUUGACACACAAAAGGAUGAUGUUUUUGGUGACGUUUUUUGUGGUAGUAGUGGUGGUGGAAAGGGUGACAUUUAUAUAAGCGAUAGUAAUAGCAAAGAUAAUGACAUUGUUAGCGGUAGUAAUAAAAGGGAUAAUGACAUUGUUAGCGUUAGUAAUAGCAAAGAUAAUAAUAAUGCUAGCUUUAGUAAUAGCAAAGAUAAUACUUAUGCCGAUAUCAUUAAUAAUGUUACUCCAGAUAUUAAUCACGACAUGAGCGUAGUGGACAUAGAUUAUAUGUCCUUACCACUACCACCAGAAAAAGAAGAAAAUACCUUUAAAAAUAACAAGGGUGAUUUUAAAAGUAAUGACAUAGAUACAAACAUAGAACAUAUGUUAAAAGAUAGCGUACAUGAUAAUGAUAAUAAUAAUAAUAAUAAUAACAAUAAUAAUAAUAAUAAUAACCAAAUAAAAAGUGAAAAUAAUAUUUCAAACAUCAUUAACACAAGUGAACAAACAGUGGUGAAGGAAAAAAUUAUUACAGUUGAUUUAGUCAUUGAAAACACUCAUGAUGACAAUAAAACAUUAGUAGUGGAUGAAACUAAUAACAAAUCAAUGACAACACAACAUGACAUUAUUGCUACUUCUAACGCCACUAACGAAAAGGGUAGUAACAGUAACGAAAAGGGUAGUAACAGUAACGAAAAGGGUAGUAACAGUAACGAAAAGGGUAGUAACAGUAACGAAAACGAUAGUAGAAGUAACAAUAAUGGUGGUAAACAGAAUGAAGAUAGUGAAAGUAACUCUGAUUCGAAUGACAUAAAUUUUGAUGAAAUCGAUGAAAUAACAAAAGCUAUAGACGAUUUGAAUGACAAUUUUGAACAUAUGAAUAGAUAUAAAUAUGAUAAUUAAAAAUAUGCAUUUUUUUUUUUUUUUAAUAAUUUUGUACAUAUAUUAUUGUUACUAAUGGUAAAAAAAAAUGCUAUUUCGUGUUGUUCAUUUUAUUUUUAUGCACGUAUUUGUGCCUAUAUAUAUACAUAUAUAUUGAUAUUUAUAUGUAUAUUUAUAUUGAUAUUUAUAUUUGUGUGAAUGUUCUCUCUUUCUAACCUUUUUACCUUUUUUCUUUUUUUCUUUUUUUUUUCUUCCUCCCAUUUUUAGUGUUUUAUAAAAAAAAUGAAAUAUUCAACAUUCUAAUUAUUACAUGUUAAUAUUUACGUUUUUACAUUUUUAUGUAUAUUUUUACAUCUGUCUCAGAUAAAAUUAUUUAUCAUUUAUUUUAUUACUACUAUAUUACUAUUACUUUUUUUUUACUUUUUUUUACUUUUUUUUACUUUUUUUAUUUUUUUUUUUUUAUGUAUAUAUAAGAACAAUUUUUUAAAUUAUAAAAGUCUGAUAUUUUUUAAUGUAAAAAACAAUAGAAAAAAAAAAAAAAAAAAAAAAAAAAAAACAAGACAG